UAGGAGGCGUCGAGCGGCGGACGGGUGAGUAAUGCAUAGGAAUCUGCCCGGUAGUGGGGGAUAACCUGGGGAAACCCAGGCUAAUACCGCAUACGUCCUACGGGAGAAAGCAGGGGAUCUUCGGACCUUGCGCUAUCGGAUGAGCCUAUGUCGGAUUAGCUUGUUGGUGAGGUAAUGGCUCACCAAGGCGACGAUCCGUAGCUGGUCUGAGAGGAUGAUCAGCCACAUCGGGACUGAGACACGGCCCGAACUCCUACGGGAGGCAGCAGUGGGGAAUAUUGGACAAUGGGCGAAAGCCUGAUCCAGCCAUGCCGCGUGUGUGAAGAAGGCUUUCGGGUUGUAAAGCACUUUCAGUGAGGAAGAAUGCCUUCGGCCUAAUACGCCGGAGGAACGACAUCACUCACAGAAGAAGCACCGGCUAACUCCGUGCCAGCAGCCGCGGUAAUACGGAGGGUGCGAGCGUUAAUCGGAAUUACUGGGCGUAAAGCGCGCGUAGGUGGCUUGAUAAGCCGGUUGUGAAAGCCCCGGGCUCAACCUGGGAACGGCAUCCGGAACUGUCAGGCUAGAGUGCAGGAGAGGAAGGUAGAAUUCCCGGUGUAGCGGUGAAAUGCGUAGAGAUCGGGAGGAAUACCAGUGGCGAAGGCGGCCUUCUGGACUGACACUGACACUGAGGUGCGAAAGCGUGGGUAGCAAACAGGAUUAGAUACCCUGGUAGUCCACGCCGUAAACGAUGUCGACUAGCCGUUGGGGUCCUUGAGACCUUUGUGGCGCAGUUAACGCGAUAAGUCGA
This 790-nucleotide ribosomal RNA is filed under the name Halomonas denitrificans. RNAcentral describes it as "bacterial SSU rRNA". It matches the Rfam family "Bacterial small subunit ribosomal RNA", at positions 81 to 868 of the family's 1533-position model. Lineage: Bacteria; Pseudomonadati; Pseudomonadota; Gammaproteobacteria; Oceanospirillales; Halomonadaceae. The record is from RNAcentral.